This 492-nucleotide ribosomal RNA is filed under the name uncultured bacterium. RNAcentral's name for it is "partial 16S ribosomal RNA". The stretch from base 20 to 336 matches the Rfam family "Bacterial small subunit ribosomal RNA", at positions 47 to 358 of the family's 1533-position model. The record is from RNAcentral.
AGUGAACGCUGGCGGUAGGCCUAACACAUGCAAGUCGAACGGCAGCACAGUAAGAGCUUGCUCUUACGGGUGGCGAGUGGCGGACGGGUGAGGAAUACAUCGGAAUCUACUUUUUCGUGGGGGAUAACGUAGGGAAACUUACGCUAAUACCGCAUACGACCUACGGGUGAAGGCAGGGGAUCUUCGGACCUUGCGCGAUUGAAUGAGCCGAUGUCGGAUUAGCUAGUUGGCGGGGUAAAGGCCCACCAAGGCGACGAUCCGUAGCUGGUCUGAGAGGAUGAGUAGAAACACUGGAAAUGAGAGACGGUGCAGAAUCAUACGGGAGGCAGCAGGGGGGAAUAUUGGAGAAUGGGAGAAAUAAGGAGAAAGACAGAAAGGGGAGGUGAAGAAGGUAGUAGGAUGGGAAAGCAUUUCGGGGGGGAAAGAAAAGAAGCAGGUUAAGAACCCGCGGUGCUGAAGGGAAAAAAAGAAUAAGAACAGGCUAACUUAGUG